This 493-nucleotide ribosomal RNA is filed under the name uncultured bacterium. RNAcentral's name for it is "partial 16S ribosomal RNA". It matches the Rfam family "Bacterial small subunit ribosomal RNA", at positions 27 to 507 of the family's 1533-position model. The record is from RNAcentral.
GAGUGAACGCUGGCGGUAGGCCUAACACAUGCAAGUCGAACGGCAGCACAGUAAGAGCUUGCUCUUACGGGUGGCGAGUGGCGGACGGGUGAGGAAUACAUCGGAAUCUACUUUUUCGUGGGGGAUAACGUAGGGAAACUUACGCUAAUACCGCAUACGACCUACGGGUGAAAGCAGGGGAUCUUCGGACCUUGCGCGAUUGAAUGAGCCGAUGUCGGAUUAGCUAGUUGGCGGGGUAAAGGCCCACCAAGGCGACGAUCCGCAGCUGGUCUGAGAGGAUGAUCAGCCACACUGGAACUGAGACACGGUCCAGACUCCUACGGGAGGCAGCAGUGGGGAAUAUGGGACAAUGGGCGCAAGCCUGAUCCAGCCAUACCGCGUGGGUGAAGAAGGCCUUCGGGUUGUAAAGCCCUUUUGUUGGGAAAGAAAAGCAGCAGGUUAAUACCCCGCUGUUCUGACGGUACCCAAAGAAUAAGCACCGGCUAACUUCGUG